RNAcentral lists this ribosomal RNA (497 nucleotides) under uncultured bacterium. RNAcentral describes it as "partial 16S ribosomal RNA". It matches the Rfam family "Bacterial small subunit ribosomal RNA", at positions 28 to 507 of the family's 1533-position model. The record is from RNAcentral.
GAUGAACGCUGGCGGCGUGCCUAAUACAUGCAAGUCGAGCGAACAGACGAGGAGCUUGCUCCUCUGACGUUAGCGGCGGACGGGUGAGUAACACGUGGAUAACCUACCUAUAAGACUGGGAUAACUUCGGGAAACCGGAGCUAAUACCGGAUAACAUGUUGAACCGCAUGGUUCAACAGUGAAAGACGGUCUUGCUGUCACUUAUAGAUGGAUCCGCGCCGCAUUAGCUAGUUGGUAAGGUAACGGCUUACCAAGGCAACGAUGCGUAGCCGACCUGAGAGGGGGAUCGGCCACCCUGGAACUGAGCCACGGUCCAGGCUCCUACGGGAGGCACCAGUAGGGAAUCUGACGCAAUGGGCGAAAGCCUGACGGAGCAACGCCGCGUGAGUGAAGAAGGUCUUCGGAUCGUAAAGCUCUGUUAUUAGGGAAGAACAAAUGUGUAAGUAACUAUGCACGUCUUGACGGUACCUAAUCAGAAAGCCACGGCUAACUACGUG